This 1761-nucleotide long non-coding RNA is filed under the name Sparus aurata (gilthead seabream). RNAcentral describes it as "lncRNA (ENSSAUG00010014806.1)". Lineage: Eukaryota; Metazoa; Chordata; Actinopteri; Spariformes; Sparidae. The record is from RNAcentral.
AUGAGGAGGAGAGGAGGACUUUAUAUCACCAGGAGGACUUUAUAUCAUCAGGAGGAGGAGAGGAGGACUUUAAUAUCAUCAGGAGGAGGAGAGGAGGACUUUAUAUCAUCAGGAGGAGGAGAGGAGGACUUUAUAUCCUCAGGAGGAGGAGAGGAGGACUUUAUAUCCUCAGGAGGAGGAGAGGAGGACUUUAUAUCAUCAGGAGGGAGGAGAGGAGGACUUUAUAUCAUCAGGAGAGAGGAGGACUUUAUAUCAUCAGGAGGAGGAGAGGUAGGACUUUAUAUCCUCAGGAGGAGGAGAGGAGGACUACUUUAUAUCAAUCAGGAGGAGAGGAGGAAUUUAUAUCAUCAGGAGGAGAGGGAGGACUUAUAUCAUCAGGAGGAGAGGAGGGACUUUAUAUCAUCAGGAGGAGGAGAGAGGAACUUUAUAUUCUCAGGAGGAGGAAGGAGGACUUUAUAUCAUCAGGAGGAGGAGAGGAGGACUUUAUAUCAUCAGGAGGAGAGGAGGACUUUAUAUCAUCAGGAGGAGAGGAGGACUUUAUAUCAUCAGGAGGAGGAGAGGAGGACUUUAUAUCAUCAGGAGGAGGAGAGGAGGACUUUAUAUCAUCAGGAGGAGAGGAGAGGACUUUAUAUAUCAUCAGGAGGAGGAGAGGAGGACUUUAUAUCAUCAGGAGGAGGAGGAAGGAGGACUUUAUAUCAUCAGGAGGAGAGGAGGACUUUAUAUCAUCAGGAGGAGAGAGGACUUUAUAUCAUCAGGAGGAGAGGAGGACUUUAUAUCAUCAGGAGGAGGAGAGAGGACUUUAUAUCAUCAGGAGGAGGAGAGGAGGACUUUAUAUCAUCAGAGGAGGAGAGGAGGACUUUAUAUCAUCAGGAGGAGGAGGAGGACUUUAUAUCAUCAGGAGGAGAGGAGGACUUAUAUCAUAGGAGGAGGAGAGAUGACUUUAUAUCAUCAGGAGGAGAGGAGGACUUUAUAUCAUCAGGAGGAGGAGAGGAGGACUUUAUAUCAUCAGGAGGAGGAGAGGAGGACUUUAUAUCAUCAGGAGGAGGAGGAGGACUUUAUAUCAUCAGGAGGAGAGGAGGACUUUAUAUCAUCAGGAGGAGGAGAGGAGGACUUAUAUCAUCAGGAGGAGAGGAGGACUUUAUAUCAUCAGGAGGAGGAGAGGAGGACUUUAUAUCAUCAGGAGGAGGAGAGGAGGACUUUAUAUCAUCAGGAGGAGAGGAGGACUUUAUAUCAUCAGGAGGAGAGGAGGACUUUAUAUCAUCAGGAGGAGGAGAGGAGGACUUAUAUCAUCAGGAGGAGAGGAGGACUUUAUAUCAUCAGGAGGAGGAGAGGAGGACUUUAUAUCAUCAGGAGGAGGAGAGGAGGACUUUAUAUCAUCAGGAGGAGGAGAGGAGGACUUUAUAUCAUCAGGAGGAGGGAGAGGACUUUAUAUCCUCAGGAGGAGAGAGGAGGACUUUAUAUCAUCAGGAGGAGGAGAGGAGGACUUUAUAUCAUCAGGAGGAGGAGAGGAGGACUUUAUAUCAUCAGGAGGAGGAGAGGAGGACUUUAUAUCAUCAGGAGGAGAGGAGGACUUUAUAUCAUCAGGAGGAGGAGAGAGGACUUUAUAUCAUCAGGAGGAGGAGAGGAGGACUUAUAUCAUUCAGGAGGAGAGGAGGACUUUAUAUCAUCAGGAGGAGGAGAGGAGGACUUUAUAUCAUCAGGAGGAGGAGAGGAGGACUUUAUAUCAUCAGGAGGAGAGGAGGACUUUACUUUAUGAGGUGA